Non-coding RNA from Hordeum vulgare subsp. vulgare (domesticated barley), 116 nucleotides. The record is from Rfam. NCBI's taxonomy places the organism in Eukaryota, Viridiplantae, Streptophyta, Magnoliopsida, Poales, Poaceae.
CAUAUACUCCCUCCGUCCCAAAAUAAGUGACUCAAAAAUGACUCUACUUUGUACUAAAAUUAGUACAAAAUUGAGUCAUUUUUGAGUCACUUACUUCGGGACGGAGGAAGUAGGAA